RNAcentral lists this unclassified non-coding RNA (403 nucleotides) under soil metagenome. Its description in RNAcentral is "partial contains 5.8S ribosomal RNA, internal transcribed spacer 2, and large subunit ribosomal RNA". The stretch from base 1 to 121 matches the Rfam family "5.8S ribosomal RNA", at positions 35 to 154 of the family's 154-position model. The record is from RNAcentral.
GAUGAAGAACGUAGCGAAAUGCGAUAAGUAAUGUGAAUUGCAGAAUUCAGUGAAUCAUCGAAUCUUUGAACGCACCUUGCGCCCUUUGGCUAUUCCGAAGGGCAUGCCUGUUUGAGCAUCAUGAACACCUCAACUCUUCACGGCUUGCCGUGAUGAGUUUGGACUUUGGGGGUCUUGCUGGCCUACGAGCCAGCUCCUCUCAAAUGUAUUAGCUUGCCGGUGUUUGGUGGCAUCACAGGUGUGAUAACUAUCUACGCUUGUGGUUUUCCACUAGGUAACCUUCAGCAAUGGAGGUUCACCGGAGCUCACAAAUGUCUCUCCUUGCCAAGGACAGAUUUUGACCAUUUGAUCUCAAAUCAGGUAGGACUACCCGCUGAACUUAAGCAUAUCAAUAAGCGGAGGA